This 1173-nucleotide long non-coding RNA is filed under the name Homo sapiens (human). RNAcentral describes it as "LNC_000252". The record is from RNAcentral. Lineage: Eukaryota; Metazoa; Chordata; Mammalia; Primates; Hominidae.
CUAAGCCAUUCAUGAGAAACCCACCCCCAUGGUCUAUACCUUCCACCAGGCCCCACCUCCAACACUGGGGAUUACAGUUUGGCAUGAGAUUUGGGUGGGGACACAGAUCCAAACCAUAUCACUGACUGGCAUGUGCCAAACACACCAGAUGGCAGGGCGGGCUGUGCUCCAGCAUGGGACCCUCCAGCUGCCGAUCCCCCCCAACCAUGGCCUCUUAAGCCCCAGGCCCAGUGGCCCCCUUGGUCUUGGCCCCCCCAGCCCCGGUCAGGGAUGAGGUCUGCUGGCUCUGGCCAAACUUCCUCCUUCACAUGCACCGGGAGGAGGCCCAAGCUGUCGGCGGAGACGCCUGGGGGCCAGGACAUCGUGUCGUUGUGCACCUUCUGUUUUUCCAGUUCGGCUUUAGGAAGAGGAAGCUCCAUCAGCACGUCCCCAGGAAGCUGGUUUGUUGGGAAAGGGGUGAGAGCAGCACUCCAGGAGGUGGCCAAUGAACCUACUAUGCGGGAUUUCGGCUGGACUUUUCCUGACCAAGCCAGGGGCUUAAUGUUACCAAGCAGGUUGCAGGCAGGAGGCUGUCACCUGCUUGACAGAAAUCCUUGGGGCAAAUGCCAUCUCCAUGUGGAGGCAGCAAUGAAAGCAUGAAGGAUCUGAGCUGACGUUACAGUGAGAGUGUCCCCCCUUCCUGGCACUCAGGCAAGGAUGCUCCCCAGAUGAUGGACACGGGGACCCUCCCCAGAUGACAGACACGGGGACCCUCCCCAGAUGACGGACACGGGGACCCUCCCCAGAUGACGGACACGGGGACCCUCCCCAGAUGACGGACACGGGGACCCUGCCAGAUGACGGACACAUGGACCCUCCCCAGAUGACGGACACAUGGACCCUCCCCAGAUGACAGACACAUGGACCCUCCCAGAUGACGGACACAUGAACCCUCCCCACAUGGACAGGAAGAUUCCAGCAAUGUUAGAGAUGAUAGAAUUCAUAGACAAGGAUAUGAAAGCUGCUGCUACAACUUACUCCAAGAAGCUAUUCCAGGUGUGGUUGUGUGUGCCUAUAGUCCCAGCUACUCAAGAUGCCAAGGCCAGCCUGGGCAACAAAGCGAGAUCUCAUCUCUAAACAAAAACAGAAAUAAACUAGAAAAGUGGAAGCUAGAGGAAAUAUCGAAUGUGUUAG